RNAcentral lists this ribosomal RNA (253 nucleotides) under uncultured bacterium. Its description in RNAcentral is "partial 16S ribosomal RNA". It matches the Rfam family "Bacterial small subunit ribosomal RNA", at positions 524 to 776 of the family's 1533-position model. The record is from RNAcentral.
UACAGAGGGUGCGAGCGUUAAUCGGAAUUAUUGGGCGUAAAGGGUGCGUAGGUGGAUGAGUAAGUUGGAUGUGAAAGCCCCGGGCUUAACCUGGGAAUCGCAUUUGAUACUGUUCGUCUAGAGUGGAGUAGAGGAUAGCGGAAUUUCCGGUGUAGCGGUGAAAUGCGUAGAUAUCGGAAAGAACACCAGUGGCGAAGGCGGCUAUCUGGGCUCACACUGACACUGAGGCACGAAAGCGUGGGGAGCGAACAGG